AUCAAGGCAUCGUUUAUCCGCUCCGAGUACCGCACUUUUUCCAACACCACCAACUUGUCUGCGAUGAUGUGUUCUUGAACGUUGCAAACAAAGCCUGACACCAUUUGAUUGUAGGCCUCGAGACUGCGGAAGGCUUUAAGUUGUUUUUUGCGUAAAAUAGUUAGUCUCGAGAACCAAAUAGCAGAGCAAAUCAGUCGAUUCCACCGGCGGUAAGCAAUCAGGCUCGAAGCGUUUCGCAUCUAUCAAAACAGGAUCGAUUCUGAUAGUCGAGAUCUUCUUCAGUUUACGCUCUCUGACUUCUAAAUCCAGUUUUUAUCGUAAUCAUACGGUGGAAUUUGGACGACAUGGUCUGCAUCAGACAAAGGAAUAGCAAUUUUUUCGGUAGAAGCCCUACAUUUAACUUUUUUCGAUUGUAAACUGGAAGGAACUAUAAAUUUGGACCGUGUUUGCAUAUAAUAACGACUGAAACACGUGACGUGCACCAACAUGGCGCAAAUUAAUUCUGUGACGUCACGUGAAAACGAUCGAUAACUCAACGUGUACGAGUGUUUUGAGGAGAAAGUAAGUCAAACAAGGAAUCUUGUAAUACGGGCUACAGAUAAGUUUAUUAUCGUGUGUCUCUGCUAUAUGAGGUCCAAUAUCAGAAACUGAGAGAAUGUGUCCAUCAGAUCAUCCCUAAAAUGAAUUAAGCAGGGCAGAGAGUGUUGUACAAUGGUACGCCGUGAACCUUGUUGGC
This is a long non-coding RNA of Pocillopora damicornis (cauliflower coral), 736 nucleotides long. Lineage: Eukaryota; Metazoa; Cnidaria; Anthozoa; Scleractinia; Pocilloporidae. The record is from RefSeq and is a predicted model, not a curated record.